This 458-nucleotide ribosomal RNA is filed under the name Pseudomonas citronellolis. RNAcentral describes it as "bacterial SSU rRNA". It matches the Rfam family "Bacterial small subunit ribosomal RNA", at positions 31 to 481 of the family's 1533-position model. The record is from RNAcentral. Lineage: Bacteria; Pseudomonadati; Pseudomonadota; Gammaproteobacteria; Pseudomonadales; Pseudomonadaceae.
AUUGGAACGCUGGCGGCAGGCCUAACACAUGCAAGUCGAGCGGAUGAACGGGAGCUUGCUCCCUGAUUCAGCGGCGGACGGGUGAGUAAUGCCUAGCAAUCUGCCUGGUAGUGGGGGACAACGUACCGAAAGGAGCGCUAAUACCGCAUACGUCCUACGGGAGAAAGUGGGGGAUCUCGGACCUCACGCUAUCAGAUGAGCCUAGGUCGGAUUUAGUAGUAGGGUGGGGAAUGGCUCACCUUGGCGACGAUCCGUAACUGGUCUGAGAGGAUGAUCAGUCCCACUGGGAACUGAGACACGGUCCCAGAUCCUGCGGGAGGCAGYAGUGGGGAAUAUUGGACAAUGGGCGAAAGCCUGAUCCAGCCAUGCCGAGUGUGUGAAGAAGGUCUUCGGYUUGUAAAGCACUUUAAGUUGGGAAGAAGGGCAGUAAGUUAUACCUUGCUGUUUGACGUUACCAC